Molecule: ribosomal RNA, 422 nt
Filed under: Bos taurus (domestic cattle)
Lineage: Eukaryota; Metazoa; Chordata; Mammalia; Artiodactyla; Bovidae
Description: partial large subunit ribosomal RNA
Source: RNAcentral
CUAACGAGCCUGGUGAUAGCUGGUUGUCCAGAAAAUGAAUCUAAGUUCAGCUUUAAAGAUACCAAAAAUUCAAAUAAACCCCACUGUAGCUUUAAAAGUUAGUCUAAAAAGGUACAGCCUUUUAGAAACGGAUACAACCUUGACUAGAGAGUAAAAUUUAACACUACCAUAGUAGGCCUAAAAGCAGCCAUCAAUUAAGAAAGCGUUAAAGCUCAACAACAAAAAUUAAAUAAAUUCCAACAACAAAUGAUUAACUCCUAGCCCCAAUACUGGACUUAUUUUAUUUCUCCGAAGAAGCCACAAUGGUAACUACCAGUAACAAGGAAAAUGUUGUUCUUGCAUAAGGCUUAGAUCGAUCCUCAAUAUGCUCCGGACACCAACCGGCAAAAAAGACUUCUCCAACUAAUAAAGCGCUUUCUCGC